This 253-nucleotide ribosomal RNA is filed under the name uncultured bacterium. RNAcentral describes it as "partial 16S ribosomal RNA". It matches the Rfam family "Bacterial small subunit ribosomal RNA", at positions 524 to 776 of the family's 1533-position model. The record is from RNAcentral.
UACGUAGGGGGCAAGCGUUAUCCGGAUUUACUGGGUGUAAAGGGCGUGUAGGCGGGAUUUCAAGUCAGAUGUGAAAACCGAAGGCUCAACCUUCGGCCUGCAUUUGAAACUGAAGUUCUUGAGUGCUGGAGAGGCUAACGGAAUUCCUAGUGUAGCGGUGAAAUGCGUAGAUAUUAGGAAGAACACCAGUGGCGAAGGCGGUUAGCUGGACAGUAACUGACGCUGAGGCGCGAAAGCGUGGGGAGCAAACAGG